GAUGAACGCUGGCGGCGUGCCUAAUACAUGCAAGUCGAGCGAACGGACGAGGAGCUUGCUCCUCUGACGUUAGCGGCGGACGGGUGAGUAACACGUUGAUAACCUACCUAUUAGACUGGGGUAACUGCGGGAAACCGGAGCUAAUACCGGAUAAUAUAUUGAACCGCAUGGUUCAAUAGUGAAAGACGGUUUUGCCGUUACUUAUAAUUGGAUCCUCGCCGCAUUAGCUACUGGGUAAGGUAACGAUCUACCAAGGCAACGAUGCGUAGCUGACCUGAGAGGGUGAGCGGCCACACUGAAACUGAGACACGGACCAGGGCCCUACGGGAGGGAGAAGUAGGGAAACUUACGCAAUGGGCGAGAGCGUGACGGAGCAACGGCGCGGGAGUGAUGAAGGUCUUCGGAUCGUAAAAUUCUGUUAUUAGGGAAGAAGAAAUGUGUAAGUAACUAUGCACGUCUUGACGGUACCUAAACAGAAAGCCACGGCUAACUACGUG
RNAcentral lists this ribosomal RNA (497 nucleotides) under uncultured bacterium. RNAcentral describes it as "partial 16S ribosomal RNA". It matches the Rfam family "Bacterial small subunit ribosomal RNA", at positions 28 to 507 of the family's 1533-position model. The record is from RNAcentral.